UUUAAGACCCUUGUAGCAUAAUCUAGCUAAUGUGGGGACUAUUUUGUGAAUUUUUUGAAAAUAUAGGGUUUUUCCAUGAGAGUAUUCAUGUGUUUUACUGAAUUUUUAUGGAAGAAAAUGAGUCUUGGUUGUGUAAUAAACAACUUUUGUGAAAGAAGUUUGUAUGAAAACACCUAAAAAGGGCUCUUUUGUAAAGUUGUAAAAUAAGUUGUAAAUGUGUGAAAUAAUUAUAAAAAGUAUUCAGCUAGG
RNAcentral lists this long non-coding RNA (249 nucleotides) under Gossypium barbadense (sea-island cotton). RNAcentral describes it as "long non-coding RNA (GBAR_LNC010297)". The record is from RNAcentral. Lineage: Eukaryota; Viridiplantae; Streptophyta; Magnoliopsida; Malvales; Malvaceae.